Long non-coding RNA from Papaver somniferum (opium poppy), 1164 nucleotides. RefSeq lists it as uncharacterized. Lineage: Eukaryota; Viridiplantae; Streptophyta; Magnoliopsida; Ranunculales; Papaveraceae. The record is from RefSeq and is a predicted model, not a curated record. The transcript is spliced from 4 exons.
CCAGCGCCUCCCACUCUCUCUCAUUUGGCCUCAUCUCUAUUCUCUUCAUAAACACAAACGAAAUCGAAGAUCUAUCGAAAAAAUCAAUCAAUAACAUCAGCUCUUCUCUAUUCUCUUCAUCAACACCAGCUGAAACGAAGAUUCAUCAGCUCUUCUCGAUGCUCAUCAUUAACAAAAUCCAUCAGCAGAUCAGUUCUUGAGGAUUUGUUGUGAAUCGAUGAAGAACAGUCAAUGAGGAGCACCAACAAUAUUCGAGAGUAAUUGUGUGUUGUCUAAAGCAAUUAGUAAUUGUACCGAAACUCAAGAUUAUACCUCUUCGUUGGUAUGUUGUUGUUGUCAAUUCCAGAAAUUUGUAUGAAUGUGUGUGUAUACUUAGCUCAGCAAUGGAUUUACUUAUAAUGGUAUAGAAGUUGAUUAAUAUAAAUACCAAACCUGCAGUUUGAGAUAACACUAUUAUCUGCUCAUACAGCUGAUGGAAUCGUUGCUUGGCGAGGUUAGGGAGGAGUUCGAACAUCGCUUGGCGACCCAGAAUGAACCGAUAAGCUUAUCUUCGCUUUGUUAGUAAUAAAGAAACAAGAGAUUUCUAGUAAUAAAGAAACAUAAGUAUUGUGGAUUGUUUGGCAGGUGGUGGUGGUGGAUACCAAGGAGGAGGAGAUCAGGGAGGGUGUCUUGGUGAUGGAUAUCAAGGUGGGGGAGAUAAAAAAAGAAACAAGAUUUUUCUUAGUAACAAAGUAACAUGUUUGGCAUGUGGUGGUGGUGGAUACCAAGGAGGAGGAGAUUGGGAAGGGUGUCUUGGUGGGGGAGAUCAUGGAGGUAGUGGUAGCGGAAGAGAUGGUGAUUUGAUGUGCCCUAAUUCAAGUAAUUUACAUUAGGUAUUUUUCCAUGUACUCAACACGGAGGAUAUGGAAGAUUUGGCGGAUAUACCUGCCAUUUGAUCAAGAUCCAUUGAUAGUUUGUUUCUAAAUCAUCCUGAUUUUGUGCAUUAAAUGGAUGACAUCUGCUGAAUCAUCCAGAACGACACUUAUGUCUUAUUUAAAAGAGGCUCUCCAGAGGCAGGUUACUGUUUUAUUUUUGUAUCUCUUUCCCCCACCCUCACCAGCAACACAAAAAACAAAUAUUUCUUUUUUGUAUCAAUAUUUUAUAUUCAUUUACUUUUACUAUUUA